AGCAGCCGCGGUAAUUCCAGCUCCAAUAGCGUAUAUUAAAGUUGUUGCAGUUAAAAAGCUCGUAGUUGAAUUUCGGGACCAAUCUGCCGGUCGUGCCUCCGGUACGCACCGGUUUUAUUGGUUUCUCCCUUCUGACGAACCAUGAUGUCAUUAAUUUGGUGUCAUGGGGAAUCAGGACUGUUACUUUGAAAAAAUUAGAGUGUUUAUAGCAGGCUCACGCUUGAAUACAUUAGCAUGGAAUAAUGAAAUAGGACGUUUGACCCUAUUUUGUUGGUUUCUAGGAUCGACGUAAUGAUUAAUAGGGAUAGUUGGGGGCAUUAGUAUUCAAUUGUCAGAGGUGAAAUUCUUGGAUUUAUUGAAGACUAACUACUGCGAAAGCAUUUGCCAAGGAUGUUUUCAUUAAUCAAGAACGAAAGUUAGGGGAUCGAAGACGAUCAGAUACCGUCGUAGUCUUAACCAUAAACUAUGCCGACUAGGGAUCGGAUGAUGUUAAUUUUUAAUGACUCAUUCGGCGCCUUAC
This 520-nucleotide ribosomal RNA is filed under the name uncultured Glomus. Its description in RNAcentral is "SSU rRNA". It matches the Rfam family "Eukaryotic small subunit ribosomal RNA", at positions 569 to 1091 of the family's 1831-position model. The record is from RNAcentral. Lineage: Eukaryota; Fungi; Glomeromycota; Glomeromycetes; Glomerales; Glomeraceae.